This 497-nucleotide ribosomal RNA is filed under the name uncultured bacterium. Its description in RNAcentral is "partial 16S ribosomal RNA". It matches the Rfam family "Bacterial small subunit ribosomal RNA", at positions 28 to 507 of the family's 1533-position model. The record is from RNAcentral.
GAUGAACGCUGGCGGCGUGCCUAAUACAUGCAAGUCGAGCGAACAGACGAGGAGCUUGCUCCUCUGACGUUAGCGGCGGACGGGUGAGUAACACGUGGAUAACCUACCUAUAAGACUGGGAUAACUUCGGGAAACCGGGGCUAAUACCGGAUAAUAUAUUGAACCGCAUGGUUCAAUAGUGAAAGACGGUUUUGCUGUCACUUAUAGAUGGAUCCGCGCCGCAUUAGCUAGUUGGUAAGGUAACGGCUUACCAAGGCAACGAUGCGUAGCCGACCUGAGAGGGUGAUCGGCCACACUGGAACUGAGCAACGGUCCAGACUCCUACGGGAGGCAGCAGUAGGGAAUCUUCCGCAAUGGGCGAAAGCCUGACGGAGCAACGCCGCGUGAGUGAUGAAGGUCUUCGGAUCGUAAAACUCUGUUAUUAGGGAAGAACAAAUGUGUAAGUAACUAUGCACGUCUUGACGGUACCUAAUCAGAAAGCCACGGCUAACUACGUG